RNAcentral lists this ribosomal RNA (385 nucleotides) under Ichthyosporea sp. Its description in RNAcentral is "partial small subunit ribosomal RNA". It matches the Rfam family "Eukaryotic small subunit ribosomal RNA", at positions 582 to 975 of the family's 1831-position model. Lineage: Eukaryota; Ichthyosporea. The record is from RNAcentral.
AUUCCAGCUCCAAUAGCGUAUAUUAAAGUUGUUGCAGUUAAAAAGCUCGUAGUUGGAUGUUGGGUUCUAGUUAUGUUCGGUCUCUUCUAGAGUACUGUCAUGCUGGCCCUUUUUCUCGAGGCCUAUAGGUGCACUUAACCGUGUGUUUAUAGUGUUCGGGACUUUUACCGUGAGAAAAUUAGAGUGUUCAUAGCAGGCUAGUGCUUGAAUAUUACAGCAUGGAAUAAUGGAAUAGGAUCAUGAUCUUAUUUUGUUGGUUUCUAAGAUUAAGAUAAUGAUUAAUAGGGAUAGUUGGGGGCAUUAAUAUUUAGUUGUCAGAGGUGAAAUUCUUAGAUUUACAAAAGAUUAACUUCUGCGAAAGCAUUUGCCAAGGAUGUUUUCAUCA